This is a long non-coding RNA of Pristis pectinata (smalltooth sawfish), 922 nucleotides long. RefSeq lists it as uncharacterized. NCBI's taxonomy places the organism in Eukaryota, Metazoa, Chordata, Chondrichthyes, Rhinopristiformes, Pristidae. The transcript has 2 exons. The record is from RefSeq and is a predicted model, not a curated record.
AUAGAUUCUUGCACCGAGGAUCUCACUUCCGCUCUCAGUACAAAACGCUCAUUGACGGUGCUGGACCUGGGGCAAAACUCCUUCACAGACCGAUCUGUCCCCGCCCUCUGCCGCCUCCUACUGACUCUCCCGUGUCUGGAACUGAUAGCGCUGCGGGAGAAUCAGUUCAGUUCAGGUGGAGUGAAUCAGCUGAAGUCACUUCGGGGAAUCAGACCCGGACUGAGUGUGUCCCUGUGAACAUCUCGCUGUCGGAACAUCACCGGCCUCGGGAUCGGAACACUUCUGGCCGACGACCCACCCUCCCCUUUAAACGGCUGCGUCCUGAAUUUAACAUCGAACGGCUGUACCGGUUCCCAGCUGGAGCUGAGGGGGCUGUGGUAUCAGGGGCGGUCCUGCUGCCCCGUGACUCAGCGGCCCGUCCACUUGGCCCUGGGGACCUGCACGGACAGGAAGGGCCCAGGGUGGGGGUGGUUCUGGGACACCAGUGAUGGUAUUCAGUGUCCGGGGUGGGGCUCAGUCUGGGACACCAGUGAUGGCAUUCAGUGUCCGGGGUGGCGCUCAGUCUGGGACACCAAUAAUGCCAUUCAGUGUCCAGGUUGGGGCUGUCUGGGACACCAGUCAUGAUAUUCAGUGUCCGGGGUGGGGCUCAGUCUGGGACACCUAUGAUGGGAUUCAGUGUCUCGGGGGUGGGGAACUAUCUGGGGAGAGAGCCCUUUUGGCCAGGUUGCUGAGGAUGUUGCAGCUGGAAUUUUGACUCCAGUCCCUGCUGCAGCCUCUGAUACAAAGGUAAAUUGUCAAAUAUCUCAGUAGUUGUCCCUGGGUCUGCAGUGAUCUUCGACGCUGCACUGAAGUGUGAUUGUAUAAUCAGUGGUCACGCUGAUGCAGAGUGACGGUAAUAAAUGGGACUGAUUAUUUAACCUGC